This 280-nucleotide ribosomal RNA is filed under the name uncultured bacterium. RNAcentral's name for it is "partial 16S ribosomal RNA". It matches the Rfam family "Bacterial small subunit ribosomal RNA", at positions 78 to 354 of the family's 1533-position model. The record is from RNAcentral.
CUUUCUGCCGCCGGCGACCGGCGCACGGGUGAGUAACACGUAUGAAACCUGCCCGUAGCAGGGGGAUAAGCGGAAGAAAUUCCGUCUAAUACCGCGUAACAACCCGAGGAGGCAUCUCCUCGGGUUUAAAGGAAGCGAUUCCGGCUACGGAUGGUCAUGCGUCGCAUUAGCUAGUUGGCGGGGUAACGGCCCACCAAGGCGACGAUGCGUAGGGGUUCUGAGAGGAAGGUCCCCCACACUGGUACUGAGACACGGACCAGACUCCUACGGAAGGCAGCAG